GGUAGCGUGGCCGAGUGGUUUAAAGCACCUCAUUGAUAAUGAGGCGGGCGUUUGGAACCGCCCCGUGGGUUCGAAUCCCACCGCUACCG
RNAcentral lists this transfer RNA (89 nucleotides) under Thalassospira sp. HJ. It matches the Rfam family "tRNA". Rfam says of the family: Transfer RNA (tRNA) molecules are approximately 80 nucleotides in length. Their secondary structure includes four short double-helical elements and three loops (D, anti-codon, and T loops). The record is from Rfam by way of RNAcentral. Lineage: Bacteria; Pseudomonadati; Pseudomonadota; Alphaproteobacteria; Rhodospirillales; Thalassospiraceae.